GACGAACGCUGGCGGCGUGCUUAACACAUGCAAGUCGAACGGUGAAGCGCCUUCCUUUUUGGUGGGUGUGGUUGCGUGGCGAACGGGUGAGUAACACGUGAGUAACCUGCCCCCUUCGUCUGGAUAACCGCAUGAAAGUGUAGCUAAUACAGGAUCUUCUGGGUCUGUCGCAUGAUGGGUCUGGGAUAGCUAUUGUUUCUGUGCUGGAUGGGUUCGCGCCCUAUCAGCUUGUUGGUGGGGUGAUGGCCUACCAAGGCGGGGACGGGUAGCCGGCCCGAGAGGGUGGACGGUCAGAGUGGGCGUGAGCACUGGCACUGACUCAUAGGGGAGGCAGCUGUGGGGGGUAGCGGACGGGGGGAGUGCGCCUGAUGCGGCGGCGCGGCGUGGGGGCUGGAGGUCCUCGGGUUGUGACCCCCUUUUGCAAGCGAAGCAGGGCUGCGUCGAUUGUCGGUGGCUUGACGGUAGCUGGAUAAGAAGCGCCGGCUAACUACGUG
This 494-nucleotide ribosomal RNA is filed under the name uncultured bacterium. RNAcentral's name for it is "partial 16S ribosomal RNA". It matches the Rfam family "Bacterial small subunit ribosomal RNA", at positions 28 to 507 of the family's 1533-position model. The record is from RNAcentral.